UGUAUUAGCAUAGCGUGCUAACUAGUAAUAUGGCGCAACAACAUAACCUAACUGCUAACUCACAUUUAAAUAACAAUCAACUCAAUGAUUGGAGUUUAAACCAACUCAUAACAGUCCCUAACUUUAAUUCACUCUAACAAUACACUAAUAAUAUUUCUGCAACACUAACAUCCAUUAGUUCCAACACUCUAACAUUCCAACUAAAUUUCUAACAUUUAACCGGUUCAUAACUAACUGUCAACAUUUCAAUUUCAAUUAAUUAUCAUCACAAUCUCUCUGCACCAAAUCAAACAAAUCAGUUCUAAAAAUUACAACUUAUUAACAAUUAAUUACUUUACCAAUUUAAACCAAAUAUCUCUAAUUGCUUUAUCAAUUCAAAUAGAUACAAAUAACUGGUUUUGAACUAACUCAUUUUUCUAACCUACGAUAACAAUUGGUGCUAACAGGAUUGAACCUCUUCAUUAAUUGAAUCUAACUAAUUCAUUUUACUAAUAGAGUUUCAAUUAAAUUAGGACACAUCAUAAUUAAAUUUAACAGUUCCUAAUAGAGUUAAUCUUCCCUAACAGAACUACACGAACUUCCCCAAUCAGUUACGUGAAAUAACUCUAUAUAACUUAUCAUUGAGCUCAAUUAUCGGGGAUUAACACAGAAUCAUUACACAAUCAAUCACUCCCUCACUGAAAUUCGGAAUCUCACCCUCACUGUGCUCCUCCCUACAACCAUUUCUCUCAAACUCAUUCAUCUCAUAAUCUCACUCUCCAUCACUCAUCUCUGAAUAUCACAUAGAAGCAGCACAUCACAUCACCUACAAACUAUGUGGUAGAGAAGAAGAAUAAGGUUGUAGUGGAUUAGGAAUCGGAGUGUUUACCAUAUUCAAAGUGCCCAUGGAUUUCUUAUCAUCUUCGUCUUAAAGUCUUUCAACCUUGACCGGAGCAAUUCACCACUCUGAAGGGGAGGAAUCAGAGGAAAACAAUGUGAGAACGAAAGAGGGUGGAGAGACGGUUCGAUUGGUGCAAGGUUGAGUGUGGUUGGACCUCCACCGCCACUGGAGGUGAUUUUCGGUGCGGCGAAGUUGUGAUUCCAGGUUAUCUCAGGCUUGUUGUGUGAAGACCUUGGCAUGGAACAAGGCAUGGAGCAAGUCAUGGUAUAGUGAAGAAUCAUCAAGAAUCAUGAAGACUUGAAGUUUGUAGAGGUUCACGGGAAUGGGAAUAACUUGUGAAUGAAGAAAAUGUAGGAAUUAGGAUUAGGAUUAGUGUUGACUUUGUUCAACUAUUUGACCAAAAAGUCAACAGUUGAUCAAAGUCAAUUGUAGGUCAAAAGGUGAAACUUUGUGUAAUUUUGUAUGGACUUUGUAGUUUUUGGUCUUGUGUAAUGGAAUGGAUAUCUUGGCAACGAAAUGGACUUUUAUUUAA
Molecule: long non-coding RNA, 1412 nt
Organism: Lathyrus oleraceus (garden pea)
Lineage: Eukaryota; Viridiplantae; Streptophyta; Magnoliopsida; Fabales; Fabaceae
Exons: 3
Source: RefSeq, a predicted model, not a curated record